GAUGAAGAACGCAGCGAAAUGCGAUAAGUAAUGUGAAUUGCAGAAUUCAGUGAAUCAUCGAAUCUUUGAACGCACAUUGCGCCCGCCAGUAUUCUGGCGGGCAUGCCUGUUCGAGCGUCAUUUCAACCAUCAAGCCCCAGGCUUGUGUUGGGGACCUGCGGCUGCCGCAGGCCCUGAAAACCAGUGGCGGGCUCGCUGUCACACCGGGCGUAGUAGAUUUUAUCUCGCUCAGGGCGUGCUGCGGGUUCCGGCCGUUAAAAAGCCUUUUUUACCCAAGGUUGACCUCGGAGCAGGUAGGAAGACCCGCUGAACUUAAGCAUAUCAAUAAGCGGAGGA
Molecule: unclassified non-coding RNA, 336 nt
Filed under: soil metagenome
Description: partial contains 5.8S ribosomal RNA, internal transcribed spacer 2, and large subunit ribosomal RNA
Rfam family: 5.8S ribosomal RNA (bases 1-120)
Source: RNAcentral